Molecule: ribosomal RNA, 252 nt
Filed under: uncultured bacterium
Lineage: Bacteria
Description: partial 16S ribosomal RNA
Rfam family: Bacterial small subunit ribosomal RNA
Source: RNAcentral
UACGAAGGGGGCUAGCGUUGUUCGGAAUUACUGGGCGUAAAGCGCGCGCAGGCGGUUUUUCAAGUCAGUGGUGAAAGCCCGGAGCUCAACUCCGGAAAUGCCAUUGAAACUGUUAAACUUGAGGAUGAGAGAGGUGAGUGGAAUUCCCAGUGUAGAGGUGAAAUUCGUAGAUAUGGGGAGGAACACCGGUGGCGAAGGCGGCCAUCUGGACGGAUACUGACGCUGAGACGCGAAAGCGUGGGGAGCAACAGG